CGUGUAGGCGGUCGGUCAAGUCCGGUGUGAAAGCCCGGGGCUCAGCUCCGGAAGUGCAUCGGAAACUAGCCGACUAGAGCGCGAUAGAGGAGGGUGGAAUUCCUGGUGUAGCGGUGAAAUGCGUAGAUAUCAGGAGGAACACCGGCGGCGAAGGCGGCCCUCUGGAUCGUUGCUGACGCUGAGACGCGAAAGCGUGGGGAGCAAACAGGAUUAGAUACCCUGGUAGUCCACGCUGUAAACGAUGGGUACUAGGUGUUCGGGGUGUUGACCCCUGAGUGCCGACGCUAACGCAUUAAGUACCCCGCCUGGGGACUACGGCCGCAAGGCUAAA
Molecule: ribosomal RNA, 331 nt
Filed under: uncultured bacterium
Lineage: Bacteria
Description: bacterial SSU rRNA
Rfam family: Bacterial small subunit ribosomal RNA
Source: RNAcentral